GACGAACGCUGGCGGCGUGCUUAAUACAUGCAAGUCGAGCGAGGUCCAUCUGGUGGCAACACCAGUGAAGGCCGAGCGGCGAACGGGUGAGUAACACGUGAGCAACCUGCCCCGAAGUCUGGAAUAACAUCGGGAAACCGGUGCUAAUACCGGAUCGCCCCACCUGACCGCAUGAUCGGGUGAGGAAAGAUUUAUCGCUUCGGGAGGGGCUCGCGGCCUAUCAGCUAGNGGUGGGGUAACGGCCUACCAAGGCGUCGACGGGUAGCUGGUCUGAGAGGACGACCAGCCACACUGGGACUGAGACACGGCCCAGACUCCUACGGGAGGCAGCAGUAGGGAAUCUUGCGCAAUGGGCGAAAGCCUGACGCAGCAACGCCGCGUGGGGGAUGACGGCCUCGG
This 399-nucleotide ribosomal RNA is filed under the name uncultured bacterium. RNAcentral's name for it is "bacterial SSU rRNA". It matches the Rfam family "Bacterial small subunit ribosomal RNA", at positions 28 to 420 of the family's 1533-position model. The record is from RNAcentral.